This is a long non-coding RNA of Passer domesticus (house sparrow), 3135 nucleotides long. RefSeq lists it as uncharacterized. The transcript has 6 exons. The record is from RefSeq and is a predicted model, not a curated record. Lineage: Eukaryota; Metazoa; Chordata; Aves; Passeriformes; Passeridae.
AGUUUAUCCAUCCAAGGAAUUCUUCCCUCUGAAGUCAGUGGUAGGAGGAGGAAGGCAUUCAACUCACCACCAGAUCCAGUUUCUUCUCUACUUGUAUGGGAACAAGCAUGACACAGAAACUACAUCACUCUUUGGAAUCAAAGGGAUUGGACAGAGUGGCACAGCCUCCUCUGCACCUCGGGGCCUGGCAUCUUGUACCUGCAGUGAGCAAUCCCCAGGGAAACGGGAGGAAACUCUUAAUUCUUCUUACUGAUCCAGACUGCUGCUCAGCAAAUCCCCUCGCCACUGGAGCUGCAGAUCUGAAAUGGCAUUAAAGAGGAAAUCAACCUUUUGCACAGUUUCCUCUUGGAAAUUCAGUUCUCCAGUCCUCCGGCUUCCUUCUGAUGGUGAGAAGCACAUUGUGAGCGAUCCUGCCCCAGGCCCAGGCCGGGCCCUCCUGCCAGGAGCCACCCGCCAUGGACGAGUUGAGCCUGCCACCUCCUGGUGACACUCUCCAGGACUGACCACAGCUUGCAGCUUUACAGCAGCACAUCUCGGCACUUCUCCGAGGCCCCUCGAGCCCCCCGACCCCAGAGAUCUCUGCUGUGGAGUUGUCCUUGUGGCUCUCCUGUGGGGUGUGGGCCUGUGGUUCCCCGUCUCUUGUCGGGGAAAAUUCAAACCAGCUGACAGGGCUGGUGGUUUUGAGCCAGUUGCAGCAGCCUCUGGGAUUUCCUUGGCAUGUUGGAUCUGCCUGUGGGGAAAAGCUGGAAUGAACCAGCUCCGUGUGUGUAACUUUGGGGAUCUUUUCCUGCCUGUUUAACCCAGCUGGGAGGAUUCUUCAGGUGCUGUUCACAUCUCCCCUGUCUGCCACAGUCUGACCAGCUCAUACUUCACCUGGUUUUUCAGCCCCACUCCAUGCUCCAUGUCCAUCCACUCCUGUACCUGGACAAAGCAAUCUGCCAGGAUUUGGUGAGACACCAUGCCCAUCUAUCAGCUGCUGUCACCCUACCCUGAGUCUUGCUUGAUCCCAGAGAAUCAAUCCUGCCUGAUGUAUAAAUACUCGAUCUGGAGUCUCAGCUGUGGAGGAGAACACAGAGCUGUCAGAUAAGCUGCAAUUAGUACAUUUAUCUACUUUAUUUUCCUGUCGUUUCCCAAACACCAUUUGCCUGCCUGCUUUUAAUACACGUUAUUAAACCUGCAGUAAAUGUUGAUUAAAGAAGCCUUAAUCCCAGGUGUUUGUUUUCUAACACUGCUGUGAGAUGCACUCUUCAACUGCCUUCAGGAAAUUUUAUCUUUUUAGGAUUUUUUUCCACCUUCCAAGCACAGUUAUGCCCCGGAAAUAGGAUUUUAAGAGCAGAUUAGUGAGUUGUCCUUCUGAUUUGCUUUGAUGUGCUUGGCUCCACUGGAGAGGGUGAUGGGUCACAGCUUUGCAGGCAGCUCUGCUGCCAUGGAGAAGCACUUCCACCCCUUCACCAAAUGCUCCACAAGCACUUUAAACAAAACACUGCAGAAGAGAUAGAUAUAUUCUUAUUAGUCUUGCAAGAGAAACUACAGCAAUCAAUCCCAGUGCUAGACUAACUCCUUCCUUUUGCAAUUUGGAUGUUUAGAAGCAAUUUGGGGAGUAAUCUCUGCGAAUGGCAGCAUGGAAGUAACUGCCUGCAAUAAAACAUUGCGGGGGUGACUGUUAUCCUAAUGAUAUUUCCAACAAACAUUACUGAAAUAUGCUUUCCUCUCUAAAAAUGGCAACAGAAUUUAAAUGUUCUUAGUGGUAACGUGGAAAUGGAGUAAAAAUUAGCUGGGUUGGUCCUGUGAUGAUGAUGAUUUUUUUAUUAUUGCCAUGGUGGGUGGGUUCCCCCCUUCCUACUGCCCUGUUUAUCCAGGGGUACAGCAUUAUUCCCUGUUCAUUAUUCUCUGCUUCACGACCUGCUCAUGUGCUACUUCAUGUGACAAAGCCCCUUUCCAUUAAACCAAUAUAAAUAAUUGCUAUAUUCUUUCACAGAGGAAGCAGGAAUAUUGCACGUGGCUAUAGCAUUACAGGAAAAAGCUGCUGGCCUGAUCCCAAUGGCCUGUUCUCCUUCUUUUUUUUUUUUUUAUUUUUUCCACAUGGGUUAGUCUCUUAUUCUUUGUGAAUAAUUUAUCCAGGUAUGCUUGAAGAAAUACUCUAAAGAAAUUAUGGCUGUCUUAAAACAUCUAUACCAGUGCUCCCUGUUGGGAGGGUCUCCAGUGAUGCCUAAAUAACCUUCUUUUAUCCUUUCAGCAAAGUGGUUUCCUCUGUGUGUGAGCAGGCCAGGGGUGUUGGGCUGUGCUGGGAUUUUGGGAGAGGAGCUGGGGAGGGUCAGAAGCUGGAGGGGGGCAGUGAUGGGCAAGGAGUGUGAACCAUCCAGCCAUCAUCUAAUUGUGAGGUUAGAAGGGGGCUGAGAUGUUUGGGGAUGCAGUUUGGAGUUGAGCAAAUCCUCCGGGACCUGUGACAGAAUCACAGAGUUUUUAAAGCUGGAAAAAUCCUCUAAGAUUUUUCAGCACAACCAUCACUGCAGCACUGACAGGGGCAGCACUAAACCAUGUCCCCAAGUGCCACAUCUGCACAUCUUUUAAAUCCCUCCAGGGAUGGUGACUUCACCACAGCCUUGGGCAGCCCAUUCCAGUCCUGGACAACCCUUUCAGUGAAGAAAUUUUCUCUAUUUCUCUACUAAACAAUCUAAUUCUUCCUUUAACUCAGUCAGUCUGCUGGCUGCAGCUGGGCUGGGUUUACAGAGCAGGCUAGCUGGGGCAGGGGGCUUCAGGGGGAGCUGCCCACACCUUCCUUGGGUGUGUGGGUGCACGUUGGGUGCCUCUGGUUGCAGAUGGAGCCCACGGUGGCCAAAUCUCUCCAGCCAAUUGCUUCCUGUUUUUCAGCAUUUCCUAACCAAAGUGGGAUGGAUGGAGAAGCAUUGCCAAUCCCUGCUCCUGUCUCCAUCUGGCCAAACUGAGAGGGCUUGAAGGCCAGAAGGAGAAACUCACCAGGAUCAUCAUCAAGGCAUCUGAAAUCUCAGGACAUCAGGAGCUACAGGAAACACAAGCAUGAAAAAAUUUGGGGGAGGCUUCAGACAUUUGCUGUGCCUGGUGCUCCUGCUCAGAAUGCAGCCGAGCAUCUUCCUCCCCCGGAGUCACAACACAGCC